Molecule: ribosomal RNA, 253 nt
Filed under: uncultured prokaryote
Description: partial 16S ribosomal RNA
Rfam family: Bacterial small subunit ribosomal RNA
Source: RNAcentral
UACGUAGGGAGCAAGCGUUGUCCGGAAUCAUUGGGCGUAAAGCGCGCGUAGGUGGCUCUGUAAGUCCGUUGUGAAAGUCAAAGGCUCAACCUUUGAAAGCCGAUGGAUACUGCAGAGCUAGAGUACGGAAGAGGCGAGUGGAAUUCCUGGUGUAGCGGUGGAAUGCGCAGAUAUCAGGAGGAACACCAAUAGCGAAGGCAGCUCGCUGGGACGUUACUGACGCUGAUGCGCGAAAGCCAGGGGAGCGAACGGG